GCGCGAAACCACACGAUGCGGACAAAGAGAAAAACGGUCAGCAGGUGGUCGUGCAGACCAUCAUGACCGCUUGGAACGCGUGCCUGGGUCGGGCAGAGCUGUGUAGUUUCGCAAAAACCCAGCCCGCUGCACUACGGCGUCCCCGCACACAGCCGCAUCAUUGCCCAGGCCUCCGCUUUUCUGUGCGCCCUUUCCCCAUUACGAACCCCCGUGCCGCGCUGCCGCUCACCGCCGCCAGCUUCUCCUGCUUGACCUCCGACGUCUCAGCCACCACCACAACGCGCUUGUACUCGUCAAAGAUCAUGUCCGCCUUGCAGUUGGGGCACUCCACCAGGUUUUGCCCGCGCGCACCGGCCACGGUGAAGACAUCACCGAAGUACGAGAAGUUCUCAGAGCCGCAGCUGGGGCAGGGGGCCUUCAGGAUCAGGUUGUCCUUGAAGCCCACCUGGGUGAGGGCGUAGGCCACUGUGAACAGCGAGGGCAGCAGCAGGCCCCAGAGAAGGAUGGGGCCGUAAGGGGCGGGCAGCUCCACCAGCUUGGUCACGCCGAAGCCGGUCGAGUAGUCCACAGCGAAGACGAGACCCAGCACGAAUAGCACGCCGGGAAGGUUGAGCGCGGUCAUGCGCAGGUAGU
This 633-nucleotide long non-coding RNA is filed under the name Chlamydomonas reinhardtii. RNAcentral describes it as "long non-coding RNA (CREI_LNC000628)". The record is from RNAcentral. Lineage: Eukaryota; Viridiplantae; Chlorophyta; Chlorophyceae; Chlamydomonadales; Chlamydomonadaceae.